UUUUUACAAUAUUAAUUUUUCCAACCCAGGAACACGGAAUAUCUUUCCAUUUCUUGUACAUCUUCUUUAAUUUUCUUGAUUAAUGUUUUAUAGUUCUCGGCAUAUACUUACUUCCUUUGCCUCCUUGGUCAUGUGUAUUCCCAGGUAUUUGAUUUUUUGGGAUGUAAUUUUAAAAAGUAUUGUAUUUUUGUAUUCCUUUUCUAAAGUUUCAUUGUUAGUAUAUAGAAAUGCAACUGACUUCUGAAUAUUAAUCUAUAUCCUGCUAAUUUGCUGAAUUUGUUGACCAGUUCAAGUAGUUUUUGGGUUGAGUCCUUAGGGUUUUCUAUGUAUAGUAUAAUGUCAUCCACAUACAGUGAAAGUUUUACCUCUUCUCUUCCUAUUUGAAUGCCUUUUAUUUCUUUUGUUUGUCUGAUUGCUGUGGCUAGGACUUCCAGUACUGUGCUGAAUAGCAGUGGUGAGAGUGGGCAUCCCUGUCUUGUUCCAGAUUUGAGAGAGAAGGCUUUCAAUUUUUCCCCAUUGAGUAUAAUAUUUGCUGUGGGUUUGUCAUAAAUGGCUUUGAUUAUGUUAAGGAAUGUUCCCUCUCUACCCACUUUGGCGAGGGUCUUGAUCAUGAAUGGAUGUUGGACUUUGUCAAAUGCUUUUUAUGCAUCUAUUGAGAUGAUCAUAUGGUUUUUGACUUUUCUUUUGUUAAUGUGGUGUAUGACGUUGAUUGAUUUGUGUAUGUUGAAUCAUCCUUCUACACCUGUGAUGAAUCCCACCUGGUCAUGGCAUAUGAUCUUUUUGAUAUGUUGUUGGAUUUGGAUGGCUGAAAUUUUGUUGAGAAUUUUUGUGUCUAUAUUAAAAUAUAUUGGCCUAUAGUUUUCUUUUUUUGGUUGUAAUUUUGUCUGGUUUUGAAAUUACAGUGAUGGUGGCAUCGUAGAAUGUCUUUGGGAGUGUUCCUUCUUCUUCAAACUUUUGAAAAAGCUGUAAGCAGGAGGCAUAACUCUCCCAGACCUCAGGCAAUGUUACAAAGUCAUGGUCAUCAAGACCACGUGGUACUGGUACCAAAACAGACAGACCGACCAAUGGAACAGAGUAGUGAACCCAGAAAUAAACCCAGGCACCGACGGUCAAUUAAUCUUUGACAAAGGAGGCAAGAACAUAAAAUGGGGAAAAGACAGUCUUCUCGGCAAAUAUCGUUGGGAAACCUGGACUGCUGGAUGCAAAUCAAUGAAACUAUAACACACCCUCACACCAUGCACCAAAAUAAACUCAAAAUGGCUGAAAGACUUCAAUAUAUGACAAGACACCAAACUCCUGGAAGAGAACAUAGGCAAAACAUUCUCUGACAUCAACAUCAUGAAUAAUUUCUUGGGUCAGUCUCCCAAAGCAACAGAAAUAGAAGUAAAAAUAAACCAAUGGGACCUAAUCAAACUGACAAGCUUUUGCACAGCAAAGGAAACCAAAAAGACAAUUUACAGGAUGGGAGAAAAUUGUUUCUAAUGAUGCAAUGGACAAGGGCUUAAUCUCUAGAAUAUACAAGCAACUUACACAACUCAACAGCAAAAAAGCCAACAGCCCAAUGGAAAAAAUGGGCAAAAGACCUGAAUAGACAUAUCUCCAAGGAAGAUAUACAGAUUCCCAGAAAGCACAUGAAAAAAUGCUCAAAAGCCCUGAUUAUUAGAGAAAUGCAAAUCAAAACUACUAUGAGAUACCACCUCACAGUAGUCAGAAUGGCCAUUAUUAAAAAGUCCACAAAUAACAAGUGCUAGAGGGGUUGUGGAGAAAAGAGAACCCUCCUGUCUUGUUGGGGGGAAUGUAAGCUUGUACAGCCACAAUGGAUAACAGUAUGGAGAUAUCUUAGAAAACUAUACAUAGAACUACCAUAUGACCCAGCAAUCCCACCCUUGGACAUAAAUCUAGACAAAACUUUCCUUAAAAAAGACACAUGCACCCACAUGUUCAUUGCAGCUCUAUUCAUAAUCAGCUCUAUUCAUAAUAUCCAAGAGCUGGAAACAACCCAAAUGUCCAUCAACAGAUGACUGGUAUAUAGACACAAUGGAAUACUACUCAGCCAUCAAAAAGAAUGAAAUAAUGCCAUUUGCAGAAACAUGGAUGGAACUAGUGACUCUCAUCCUGAGUGAAGUAAGUCAGAAAGAGAAAGACAAAUACCUUAUGAUAUCAUUCAUAUCUGGAAUCUAAUAUAGGGCACAAACGAACCUUCCCACAGUAAAGAAAAUCAUGGACUUGGAGAAUAGACUUGUGGUUGCCCAGGGGAGGGAGUGGGAGGGAUUGGUAGCUUCAGGUUAACAGAUGCAAACUAUUGCUUUUGGAAUGGAUUAACAGUGAGAUCCUGCU
This 2337-nucleotide long non-coding RNA is filed under the name Sus scrofa (pig). RNAcentral's name for it is "lncRNA (ENSSSCG00000041838.1)". The record is from RNAcentral. Lineage: Eukaryota; Metazoa; Chordata; Mammalia; Artiodactyla; Suidae.